AUUGAAUUUAGUACUUUUUUUAAUCUAAGAGUAUAUUUAUUUAAUUUGGUUAUUUAUUGAAUUUAGUACUUUAUGUUGUUUCAAAUUUGUUUAAUUUAGUACUUUAUUCAAAACACAUUUAAACACACCAAAUAAAAUAACAUCAACACACUGAUGCGAUGAAAGUUAAGCACUCAAAUUAAAUCCUCUUGUUGUCAAAUUGUAGUAUAAAUGCAAGUAGGGAUCGUUCUAAACCGGGGAUUAGGAAGGCUUGCUAAAACCUCUAAACUAACUCAAAGACAUAAAAACAAAGUUAAAAACGUUUGAAUAGACUCAAAUGACUCAAAACAGAUUCUAAAGACGCAAAACAACUUAAAAAAACACUCAAAAUUGCCUAAAAACACUUACUGGGCAGAUUUGACUCUACACAACUUUGGACGAAAUUUGGGUUUUGACUUGAAUCAAAACACUAAAAAACACUAACGAAAUAUAAAUUUAACACUUUGAAACAACAAAGUAAAAGGGGGAUUUUGGUUUUGACGAAUUCGAAACGAACAAACAACUUAUAAAAUUAGACAGAUUGUAAAGCGAAUUUAAGAAAUGAGAUGAUGGAUGGAUUAGUUAGAGGUCCGUUCUUCGCACAUGACACACUUGUACAUGAAUGGAUUUCCAAUUUCUUUUCAAUAAACUAUGAUGCUCAACACCCCAGAUUAACUGUGAUGCACAAAUUAACCCUCAGAUUUUCCUUUACUCAUUAAAUUGGAUGAAUGCAUGCGACAACCCAAAUCAUUCUCUAAAAGUCCCCUAUAUGAAUGCAUAAUAGAGAUACAAUCAGAGAUCAUUACGUUUAAUGAAAAUCAUAAGUGUUGACGAGGCAAUUAUAACUAUGAAUGCAUGAUACAAUUGCCAAGAAUUCAAUUAACGCGAUUGUGAUAAACAACCUUCACUACUCAUGAUAAAUAUAAACUUGUAACGAUUGGGUGAAACUCAUUUAUAUUCUAGCAUCUAAUUCAUGCAUGAAACUAAGUAUGCAUCCUUAAUAAACAUACAAGAAUCAGUUAUGAAUAAAAUAGAUAAUUGAAUUGCAAUCACAACUUAUCAAAUCACAAUUGGAAGAAAUCAAUUCAAAUCUCAAGCAUGUUCAUGGCUUCAAACUUCCCCCUAACUAAAUAGGGGUUUAGCCACUCAUAAUUGCAACAAAAUUAGAAAAUAACAAAGUAGACAUUGAAAGCAAGAACGAAGUACACCUAAAACGCUCCAAAGUUCCAAGCUUGAAAUGCCAAGGACCUUUGUUUUCACCACCUUGUUGUAGCACAAGUGUCUAGGAUGUGUAUGGAUAUAUGGAUGGAAUGGAUUUGCACGGCUAAGAGAUGAAAGUGUAUGGAUUGGUGAGAUGUAGUAUGGCUAGAUGAAUGGAUGGAGGUCACGGCAAGGAAAUUGUGUUUGUGAACGAAGUUGUGAGAUGUGAAAUGUAG
Molecule: long non-coding RNA, 1454 nt
Filed under: Malus domestica (apple)
Lineage: Eukaryota; Viridiplantae; Streptophyta; Magnoliopsida; Rosales; Rosaceae
Description: long non-coding RNA (MDOM_LNC003717)
Source: RNAcentral